This is a long non-coding RNA of Equus quagga, 512 nucleotides long. RefSeq lists it as uncharacterized. Lineage: Eukaryota; Metazoa; Chordata; Mammalia; Perissodactyla; Equidae. The record is from RefSeq and is a predicted model, not a curated record. The transcript has 3 exons.
AGCUGUGCUAGGUCUGUGCCUGGGAUCUGAACCUGCAAACCCUGGGCUGCCAAACUGGAGCAUGCAAACUUAACCACUACACCCGGGCCGGCCCCCAGAAUCUCCAUUUUAACAGAAUCCCCAGGGAUUGCCAUGUGUACUAAAGUUGGUGGAGCUUUGGUCUAACUCAUCGUGGGGCCGUCUGGUUUAAAGUGGUAUUGCAGCAUUGAAAGUUUAAGGAGAGACAAGGUCCAUGAGCCAGAAUCUGGUAUGGUGGUGGCAGAGUGACUGUUUCCUGUAUUUGGGCACUGCCAGCAGCUUGAUUCAGAAGACGGAUGACAAAUUUGUCACCGGGCUGCCUGGAUAAACACCAAGACCAUGGGAUCAUUUGCUUAAAGGAAAGGAGCUCGUCAGCGAUAUGAGACUCAUUUGAACAAGAGAGUCCAGGCUACCACAUCAUACCAAAUGUGCCUUGAAUAGUCAGGCCCCCCAGUUGUAUUCUAGUUGUGAGUGCCUCCGAUUGUGCUAUGUGG